Herpailurus yagouaroundi (jaguarundi) is the source of this 1047-nucleotide long non-coding RNA. RefSeq lists it as uncharacterized. The record is from RefSeq and is a predicted model, not a curated record. The transcript has 2 exons. NCBI's taxonomy places the organism in Eukaryota, Metazoa, Chordata, Mammalia, Carnivora, Felidae.
CCUCGGCUGGCUCGCGGUGACCCUGCUGAGGGCCCGUUGGCGAGUGGGAGCCGCAGACGCUGGAAUGAGCCGGGCGAGGCCCCUGCCCCAGGGGUAGCAGAGGGAAAGCAGCACUGGCUGCCUGGAGGAGGUGACAGGCUGAUAGAUAGGAGGCUGAGGGGACUGCUUGAGUGCUCUUACAACAUGGCGGCCAGCUUCUCCCACAGUUACCCAUUCAAGAGAGACAGAGAAAGCAAGGAGAAAAGUCGUAAUGUCUUUUUAUGAUCUAACUGUGGAAGUUGUACUGCAUCAUUUCUGCAAUAUCCUACUGGUUACCCAGGUCAGCUCUCGUCCAUGUGGGAAGGGACCAUACAGGAGCAUACCAGCCAGAAGACAUAAAUCACCGUGAGCCUCUUGGAGACUGGUUGCCACACUCAUAGAAUUGCCAUCUCAUAGAAUUCGUGAGGAUGAAUGAAGUUAGUAUACAUAAAGUGCUCAGAAGAGUUUUCGAUACAUAGCACACCCUGUAUAAGUGUUGGUAUUGUUGUUGUUUCUGUGAGUUAAGAGUACAGAGUAAGCCUCCAUAACGAUUAUCUACAGUUACCAUGAACAUCAUUGCUAUUAGCUGCAAGGACCCCUUCAUGACACAGAUGGAGACACCCAGCAACUGAGAGGAUGAAGGCGUUUCACGGUUUCAUAGCAGACCACAGGCAGAGCAGGACCAACCCCGCCUUGGUUUCUUGCCUCCUGGCUAUGUACUCUCAGAAGAGCUGGAGUUUUUUUAGGAAUCUCUAUGCCCAGUGUGGGGCUUGAACUCAGAACCUCAAGAUGAAGAGUCACAUGCUCUUCCAACUGAGCCAGCCAGGUGCCCCCCCAUAUUUGCUCUUUUAUGAUUGGCUUGUUUCACUUGGCACAGUGUCUUCAGUGUUCAUCCAUGUUGUAGUGUACUAUAGAACUUCCUUCCUUUAUAAAGCUGAGCAAUUUUCCAUUGUGUGUGUAUUUCACAUUUUGUUUAUGUAUUUAUCCAUUGAUAAAUAAAUAAGCCCAUUGCCACUUGGGUUGCUUCCA